CUGUCUGACUGUCUGUGCAACCAACAUAAGAUUCAAAACUCAUUACCAGAUGGCGUCACUGUCGCCCUUGUUGUUUCUGCACCGUGAAAUGUGGAGAAAUGGGCGAAACAAAGUGUUGCUAUUUUAUACUUAUUUUUCUGUGAUUUCAAAUAUCAAGCUGAACUUCGCAUCUUAUAUGUAUGCUGUCAUUCCAACAAGUUGGUUUAGCGCUCAGUCACUGUUCAUCAUGAUCCUCAGGAUAUCAAAAGCCUAAAACCCAUGUUUGAAGCCCACACAUAGUGGAAUACAAAUGUUCCAAGAUAGGCACUCUUGCUCAUGAACCACAGGAUCCUUUUGGAAUCUUGCAAUUUUGGUGGUUUAACCUGCAGCAGCUGGUCUUUUGUUAUGGCUGUUUCUACUUCUGUUUAGAAGGCAACUCAGCCGAGGGAUAGAGUUUCAGUGACAUGAAGAGUUUGGAAUGAAUAACAUACCUGCCAUGUGUUAGUAAACAUACCAGUUCUUACACAUACCAGAUCUUACACAUACCAGAUCUGCUGGAUGAAAAUCAAAUUAUGCAUUACUAUAUUCAUCACUCAAAUUUUGUCGAAAUUUAUCUCAACAGGAGGAGUAAUGCUGUUGGUUG
Molecule: long non-coding RNA, 622 nt
Organism: Daphnia pulex (common water flea)
Lineage: Eukaryota; Metazoa; Arthropoda; Branchiopoda; Diplostraca; Daphniidae
Exons: 5
Source: RefSeq, a predicted model, not a curated record